AUGAGUUUUGAGAAAAAAAAAGUAGGAUCGAAUUUAAAUUUUUAUUAUAGAAGGGAAGGAGAAUGAGAAUAACGUACGUUUCUAGAAAUAUUAAACUAUCCUUAAUGAUCUUACAGCUCGUCUUGCAAGAGACCGCCUAAUUAUAACAUUAUAAUUAGGCAGGCCCAAGUCCAAACAAUAUGAGUAAUCAGGCCAUAUUGCAAUUUUUUUUUUAAAAAAACAAAACAGCUUGCAUUUCUCUUUCCUCUCUCUCCUCUAUCUUCACUCUUCAUUCUCUUCAAUGGUGGAAUCUUCCCGCCAAGGGAAAUUCUCCAUAGCAGCUCCAUCAUCACCUUCUCCGAUUACGAUUAUCCGAUUACAAUGAUGUCGAAUUUCAACGAGAGAAGCUCCGAAAUUUGACGACUGCACUGAUUCGUCCACCAUUGACGUUUCUCUACAACUUCAAAACCUUCCAUUAGAAGAUUCUCUCUCCAAGUUCUACUCCAAUGUUCUACCUCACACAAUUAACGCUUGUUAUGGCGAUUUUCCGAUCACUUCCUGCCCUAGCCAUGGCGAGUUUCAAAUUUCAGAGAAUGCUUUGCUCGAAUUCCAUAGGGUUGUAAAUAUAAAAGAACGGGUAGUUUCUGGUACUAUAUACUAUAUUACUCUUGAGGCAACUGAUGGUGAAAAGAAGAAGGUUUACGAAGCGAAAGUGUGGGUUAAGCCAUGGAUGAACUUCAAGGAAGUGCAGGAUUUCAAGUAUGUGGGGUGAUGUCAACGCUCCGGCAGAGGGCUGCAACAUCUAGCUAGGCACAAAAACAACAAUCUCAAAUUCCCAUCAAGUAAGCAGAUGAAGCUAAUCAAGCAUUUUGCAAGAGAUCGAAAAGACACCAAGGCGUACCCAACACAGCCACUGUAGUUCUGCAAAAUCAUCUCCCACGAAGCAAAACUCUCAUGUGAAGGAAUCCGAACCAACAACUAGAUCCUCUCCAAGAAAGUAGUUUGAACAAAAACAUUUUGGUUACUAACAAUGAUGAUUAAUUAGUUUUGAACAAAAGUAGAACUUUGUGUAAUUAGUAAAAGUACAAACAAAACAAUUACCAAUUGUUAUUUUGCAAAAUUAUGAUAAGUGAUACACAACUUUAGGUUCUAAUCACAAGUUAUGUUGAUCAAUAAGUUUUAUGUUCUUAAGUGACUGUUAUAUGUCAAUUAGAGGCCAUGA
This is a long non-coding RNA of Beta vulgaris subsp. vulgaris (sugar beet), 1201 nucleotides long. RefSeq lists it as uncharacterized. The record is from RefSeq and is a predicted model, not a curated record. Lineage: Eukaryota; Viridiplantae; Streptophyta; Magnoliopsida; Caryophyllales; Amaranthaceae. The transcript has 3 exons.